GGAGCCUUCAUGUCCUCAUAUGCGAAAUGGAGGGUACAACUGAGCAAGUGUGUGUACAGUGCUAUCUUGGACUCCAUGAAGUUCCAACAGAGGAAGGGUCUCCCUGUGUAGUUCAGGCUGCUUUGGACUCAUCAGCCUCCCGAGUGCUGGGAUUACAGGCAAGCACCACCACACCCAGCCAUGUUCUGCCACUCUGACAGAAGUUGGACCUCACUUCCCUUGGUAACCCCGAGAGUCUACACCUGAAACCACAGUGUCAGGCUGAUCAUGGACGCUCAGGAUUGAACUUUUCUGAGAAAGAUGUACGUGUCCAUCAUGCAGAGUCCUGUUGCAGCAAAGAGACAUCCAAGUACAUGAACUAUACACAUUGAAUCUCUUAAAACAUCACUAUGUUUCAUACAUGCUUAAUGUUGCCAACUCUGGGAUGAAAGGCAGAAUUGAAAAGAUCGUGUUAUUUCAUAUUUGUGUUAGCUGUACCAGUGGGUGCCCAAUAAAUAUCAUCUCCAUAUUAAUAAAGGCUACAGAGCCCACCAAAAAAAAUGGAUGAGUCCAACAAUACUAAAG
RNAcentral lists this long non-coding RNA (564 nucleotides) under Heterocephalus glaber (naked mole-rat). Its description in RNAcentral is "lncRNA (ENSHGLG00000038161.1)". Lineage: Eukaryota; Metazoa; Chordata; Mammalia; Rodentia; Bathyergidae. The record is from RNAcentral.